AUACUAUCCAAAUUCCCUAAUUUAGAGGCAGCAUUGUCUUUUAUGAGGUGCCAGAGCAAGUCUCUGCAGAAAAUAAUCUUAUUUAGCAUUUGCAUCCUCACCGAUUCAUGCUGUACAGUGUAUAGCCUUCAGUCCUCCACACUUCACGCCCUUUUGCGGCUUGUUUUACUUGUUCUGUAUGGUGAAUGAUAGCAUGCAUUUUUGUUGGAAUUUCUUGAUUUGUUCUUGUAGGCUUAUACCCAACUGUGAAUGAAUAAUUUGCUAAGUUGUGGGAAUGCAGCCCAUAUAACUAGGAGUGAGCACCAAAAUGAAUUAAAU
RNAcentral lists this unclassified non-coding RNA (318 nucleotides) under Hevea brasiliensis (rubber tree). The record is from RNAcentral. Lineage: Eukaryota; Viridiplantae; Streptophyta; Magnoliopsida; Malpighiales; Euphorbiaceae.